ACACGUAGGGGGCGAGCGUUGUUCGGAAUCAUUGGGCGUAAAGGGCGUGCAGGCGGUCGUGCAAGUCCGGCGUGAAAGACCCCGGCCCAACCGGGGGGACGCGCUGGAAACUGCAGGGCUUGAGUACAGGAGGGGAUGCCGGAAUUCCAGGUGUAGGGGUGAAAUCUGUAGAUAUCUGGAAGAACACCAAUGGCGAAGGCAGGCAUCUGGCCAUGUACUGACGCUGAGACGCGAAGGUGCGGGGAGCAAACAGGUUUAGAUACCCUGGUAGUCCGCACAGUAAACGAUGUGCACCAGGUGGCGGGGGGUCGACCCCCGGUACCGUAGCUAACGCAUUAAGUGCACCGCCUGGGGAGUAUGCUCGCAAGGGUGAAACUCAAAGGAAUUGACGGGG
RNAcentral lists this ribosomal RNA (394 nucleotides) under uncultured bacterium. RNAcentral describes it as "partial 16S ribosomal RNA". It matches the Rfam family "Bacterial small subunit ribosomal RNA", at positions 523 to 918 of the family's 1533-position model. The record is from RNAcentral.